Molecule: ribosomal RNA, 536 nt
Filed under: uncultured Verrucomicrobiota bacterium
Lineage: Bacteria; Pseudomonadati; Verrucomicrobiota
Description: bacterial SSU rRNA
Rfam family: Bacterial small subunit ribosomal RNA
Source: RNAcentral
AGAGUUUGAUCCUGGCUCAGAACGAACGCUGGCGGCGUGGAUAAGACAUGCAAGUCGGACGAGAUUUUCCGUUGUAGCAAUACGAUGGAAAGUUUAGUGGCGAACGGGUGCUUAACACGUGGGCAACCUGCCGUGAAGUGGGGGAUAGCUCGCCGAAAGGCGAAUUAAUACCGCAUGUGAUUAGAGAGGACAUCCUUUCGAAAUUAAAGUCGGGGCAACCUGACGCUUCCUGUGGGGCCCGCGGCCUAUCAGCUAGUUGGUGAGGUAACGGCUCACCAAGGCUUUGACGGGUAGCUGGUCUGAGAGGACGACCAGCCACACUGGGACUGAGACACGGCCCAGACACCUACGGGUGGCAGCAGUCGAGAAUUUUUGACAAUGGGGGGAACCCUGAUCGAGCGACGCCGCGUGGAGGAUGAAGGUCUUCGGAUUGUAAACUCCUGUCAUUGGGGAACAAGGUGCAUACGUUAACUGCGUGUGCAUUGAUAGUACCCGAAGAGGAAGAGACGGCUAACUCUGUGCCAGCAGCCGCGGUA